UUCUAUUCAUUUUUCUUAUCUCAGUAGCCGUAUGAUUUGGGGGUUUUCAGUUGCAAUUGCAGUUAUUUCUUGAAUGAGUAAUGAAACCUCAUGGACAAUCUACCUUCAAAUUUAUUCCCUUUUUCAAAGGGUGUUGACAUUCUAGAAAGACCAUUCAUUGGCAGACAUUUCCUCACAUAACUUGAAGAAUAUGAUUCAGUAAAUCUUGUUAAAUAAGUUUCAAAAUAUAUUUCAGACAAAUAGUACCUCUGUUAUUAGACAUUUUGCUUUUGGCUACAGAUUAGUCCGAGUUGUAGUAAGGAGCUCUUUUAUUCAACUAAAAAUUUCCAAAUAUAAUUUAUUACUUGUAUGAUGUUUAACUUGCUUAAACUGACCCAUAAGUUAAUACAACAUCGAAGAGCACAUGCACUUUAUUUUGUUGUUAUUUAGUCGGGGAAUUUGCUAAGACUGUCUCUCGCUUCUACACUGGGGUAUCUGAAGAAACUACAUGGUAUUUAAUGAAUGCAUCUCUUUUACUUGUUAUGGUCUGAUAUAUUUUUUCUUAUCUACCUCAUGCUUUUGUUUUCCACUUUUGUCAGCAAAAAGAAAACUUCCUCCUCUAAUAUGUCUUGCAUCCUAUAAUUAUGGCGGAUAUGCAAUUUUUUAAGUAAAAAUUAUGGCGGAUAUGCACGUUUAUAAUGGUACUUGAAAUCCUGAAGUACUUACUGAAUAGCAUUACAUCCUGUAGUAAUCUUUUGUUUCUAUAUUUCUAUAGGUUGCUAAUGUUGAAUACGUAUGAAAUUGAUUGAGUGUAUUAUGUUCUCUUUUCUAUCAUAAUUUGGCUUUGCAAGAGUUUUUAGAAGUUUACUUUGAAAAGGUUUAAAAUUUUGGCUCAUUUUUAAAAGGUGGUAAUGCAACGGAACGGAGUGGAAGGCCAGAAGAUGUCCUCUUUGCUCCGUUCUAUGGCUCUUGGGAUAAAUUAAUUCUUUUGCAAAUACUCAACUUCAACGAUGUGAUACUGUUGGAAGGCGAAUCCUUAUAUACCGCGCAUGUGGAUGAUAUUAUAAUACCUCUUUCAUCCAUCCUCUCAUUUCUUUAACUAAGCUUUUAAAAGAUGUUAGUAAUCACUUUCCGACUGCUAUAUAUUUGCAUAAUAGAGGUUAAGCAAAUAUUUGAAUAACAACACAUUGAUCGUUUUGCUAGAGAAUGGAACAUAGAGUAAAAAGCCAUUUGUAACUAUCUUGAGUCAAAUUUGAUCAAGUAAACUCCAGUCCCGUAGGUUCAUCGCGUAGCUGAAGACUACAUUUCACUCCCUAUAUCUCUUUUAGGAGUGGUGGAAACUCCCUUGAAGCUCUCAAAAGAUAACGUGGAGCUGCAAUUUUCUGCCUCGUUGCAUUCUGCAUAAGCUUUUUCCAAAAACCACUACCAAAACAUCUUGUAGCAUCGUUCUUCAAAUUUCUUACAUGUUGGUGGAAAUUUUUUGGCCUGCAGUUCCCCUUGAUGCAUAUUCAAUUGAAAUCAAGAAAAUUCGUGGAAAAGCCAGAAAAAGGGUCUUGAGAAUGGAAGUAAUCUAUGGAAAAAAAGAUGAUACAAGAGCCCAGUUGGUAAAAGAAGAUCGCCUAAGGAAAUUCCAUCAGCAAAGCACUAUCAAAUGAGUGGGGAAUAAUCGCUCGAAAUUUUGUUUUUCUUCAAACAAGUGGAAUGAACUCACAAGAGAGGAGAAAGAACAAUGAUUAGAUAUUGUAUUUUUCAAGACAGUCUCAUUUUUGUCAUAGGAGAUAUUAGUUCGUCAUAAAUUGACUACAUUUGUGACAAAACAUAGUCUUUGUUCCUGACUUGCCUUCUGAUCAAUAAUAUAAUUCACUUU
RNA transcript from Lycium barbarum (goji berry), 1846 nucleotides. RefSeq lists it as uncharacterized. Lineage: Eukaryota; Viridiplantae; Streptophyta; Magnoliopsida; Solanales; Solanaceae. The record is from RefSeq and is a predicted model, not a curated record. The transcript has 5 exons.